UAAGUAAGGAAAGCAUUUGGAAGCCAACAUUCUUUGGGGGAAGAGUUCAGGCAGUGGUUAAGAGCACCGCGUCGGGAGUCACCUCUCCUAGUUUGACUCUGAACAAGCUACUCAACCUCCCUAAAACCAAAUUUCCUUGGGAAGAUGUGGCUAAGGAUGGCCAGCCUCAUGGGAGCUCUGUCAGCUAUUUCUACUUGAUAUCAUGUAAUGCAGGUAAAGAUCUUAAUGAUAGUAUAUUAAUAUUAAUGUAUUUUUAUCUUAAUGAAAUCAAUAAUUCCAUUCUCCAGAGAGCAACAGAUAAAGUCGAGCAGUCAGACUGGUAAAAGCAAUAUAUAUUUAUUUCUUAAGUGACUAAAAGUUUCUGAAAAUAUAGGCCUCCCUCAUCUUGUGAAUGUUGAUACUUACUGAACUCGGGUUUAUAUUUCACUUUUUUCAUCUAUUUCUCAUUUAUCUCUGUGUCUUCCUUUUAAUAGCUGAUUUCUCUUUCAUCACUUAUUUAACCUCUUUUUAAAAAUAUUGUAUUAGCACGUCCUCUAUGGUUUCUCAAACCCCUGCUAUAAGCAACAGAUAUUUUACUUUAGAAAUUAUAGAUACUCAAAGUGCAGUUUUAAAGUUUAGGUAGAUACAUGCCCAGAAAUGCAUGCACUUUUUAAAAUAAGCCAUUAUGAUGUAAUUACAACUUGAGUAAAUCAAUAAUUAAAUGAACAGAGUUGGACUUGACUUGAUCACAAUACGUGAUCUAUCUAGCCAAAGAGGCACCAGCACAUUCAGUGUUACUUGGAAGGACUUUGAAUGAUGCAUCAAUCAGAUAUACCCAAAUACACAUACACACACACACAUCUAAUGACAUUCACCAGUCUUUAGUUGUAUAACUAGCACCUCAUUUGUGAUAAUCAAAAAGCAAGUUAUUUCUGCAUAUUCACGGGUCCAGUCUAUAUCAAAAUCUUUUAACAAAUAAGGUUAGACAGUAAAUCUCUAAAAACUUAAAAUGCAGAGAAACAGGGAAUUCACUUUGCUUUGAUACUUGGCUAUCACUAAAAGUUAUCUAAAUACCAAUGAGAUGGAUGUUAUUGACUCCUCCCAGUUAAAAAGCAUUGCUGCUCCAUUUUAUCACUAAAACUAUUUGAUGCUUAGAAACAGCUCCAGUAUGACAGAAGAUCUGGACUCUGCAGCAGGUAGGAUUUGAAUUCAAGUCUUACGACAGUACAGCCCUUGUGUCUAAGCAUCAAUAGCAUAACCUGUAUUCUUGACUUGUACCAAGAGGUGAGACACUGGAAACAGUACCUUUAACUCUACAUUUAGAAGUGAGGUAUUUGGGGGUUGGUUUAAAUCUUACCUAACAACAACCUGGACUUUUUUAUUUUUUAUUUUUAUUUUUUUGCUAUUUCUUUGGGCCGCUUCUGCGGCAUAUGGAGGUUCCCAGGCUAGGGGUCGAAUCGGAGCUGUAGCCGCCGGCCUACGCCAGAGCCACAGCAACGCGGGAUCCAAGCCGCAUCUGCAACCUACACCACAGCUCACGGCAACGCCGGAUCGUCAACCCACUGAGCAAGGGCAGGGAUUGAACCCGCAACCUCAUGGUUCCCAGUCGGAUUCGUUAACCACUGCGCCACGAUGGGAACUCCCAACCUGGACUUUUUAAAUGGAUAAAACAGGAGCUGGGCAGAAGAGAUUGAUCUAUAAGCUUCUCUGCCCAGCUAGUGUAAGCCUGGGCUUUUGUGUGACCUUUUCUCAUGGUCAUUUCCUUAUCCCUCUGCCUACCUGUCAGUCGUUUUCAUGAUGAAGACAUGGGGUGAUGUUAUUUAAAACUGUGCCUGAUGUAAACCUAAGCCGCAUUGACUGAGGGGCUAUUUGAUGUCUUUGAGUAAGUCCAUAUAGGCUCACAUUGAAUCCCUGCUUUUUUUAAUUUUUAAUGAGCUCGUUUUAUAGUUCCUUUUCUGGAAUAAAGACAAAGCAACGAAAGGCAUUUAAUGAAGCAUACGAAUAAAACCAUGACCAUUUCAGGUUGAAUUUGUGGCAUCCUCUUUCUAAGGAGAGUCCCUUGGAAAUUUGUCUGACCAAAUAUUUGACUUUUCUCCCUCCAAAUGUGUGUGGUUUCAAUCGUGACGUUUUGGGAAAACAUUGUUUAUUUGCCAUUGUUAAAAAUAAACUAUAAAAUAUGUAUGCUUUUAUAUUAUAAAUGGUUACAUAAGUUAAAAACUUACAGAAAGAUAGAAAUAGUCAUAACUACCCAACACAAAGUACUUUUAAUAUUUUGUUGUGCCUUCUUGCAAUCCAUGGCACCUCCGUAACUGAAUUCUAUCCAGGUUGUAUUCACAAUAUGUAAAAUAUUUAUAUACUGCUAAAUGUUAUAGCAUAAAGAGGUUCUUAUUUUUAUAUAAUUUCUGUCAUAGUAAUACAUGUUUUUAUAAUAAUUGACUGAAUAGUUGAAGUUUUCUAACUUUUCAACAUUCAUGGAACCUUUAGGUUAAUGAUUUUUACUGCCGUCAUUGAUCCUGUGAAUAACACCUUUGUUCUCUGGCUUUAGACUGUUUCCUGAAUGAUGAAUUACUUGGGCAAAAAACUUGUACAUUUUUAGAGUUAAUAACACAUGUUGCCUCAAUGUUUUACCAAAGGCACUGUGUAGUUUAGAAUGCCAGCAGUGACAAUGCAUGCCAUUUUUAUACAUCCCCCUGCCAGUACUGUACAUAAGAUUUUUUGUCAAAGUACAAUUGUGAUUUUAAAAAGUUAAUAACGGUACCUCCUCAUAGUCCUUGGCUACUUUUCAUUUAAAUAUUAGAAUGAAGAAGGAGCCCCCCAGGAGGGAAUUCUGGAAGAUAUGCCUGUGGAUCCUGACAAUGAAGCUUAUGAAAUGCCUUCCGAGGAAGGGUAUCAGGACUAUGAACCGGAAGCCUAAGGGGUAUCUUUGCUCCCAGUUUCCUGAGAUCUGCUGACAGACGUGCCAUCCUGUCCAAGUGCCCCGUUCCCACCUGCCCAGUCGUGACCUUCUCUCAACGCUUUCACAGUGUCUUUUGAAGUCUUCCAUGAGCAGUGACUGGAGUAUCUGUACCCGCCCCACCUCGGUUCCGGUGCUUCCCUCUCACUGAAUAUAUGGUAGCAGGGUCUUGUGUGCUGUGGCUGUUGUGGCUUCGAACCUAAAAUGUUUAAUGAAAAACACCUAAGUGACUACCACUUAUUUCUAAAUCUAUUUUUUGUUGCUGUUGAGAAAUUGUGAGUGAUUUACUCUCCUAAGAUUUAAAAGUGUCUUUUCAGGAUUCCGUCGAAGAAUAAUGAUGUAUGGCGAAAUUUGUUAAUAUAUACAAUACUUAAACAUGUGAGCAUGGAACUAUGCACCUAUAAAUAUUAACUAUAGAACGUUACUGUUUUGUGAUGUGUUUUGUUAACUUGCGUUUGUAUAUAAAUGGUGGAAAUUAAAAUAAAACGUUAUCUC
RNAcentral lists this long non-coding RNA (3427 nucleotides) under Sus scrofa (pig). Its description in RNAcentral is "lncRNA (ENSSSCG00035008961.1)". Lineage: Eukaryota; Metazoa; Chordata; Mammalia; Artiodactyla; Suidae. The record is from RNAcentral.